This 255-nucleotide unclassified non-coding RNA is filed under the name Schizoparmaceae sp. RNAcentral describes it as "partial contains 5.8S ribosomal RNA, internal transcribed spacer 2, and large subunit ribosomal RNA". The record is from RNAcentral. Lineage: Eukaryota; Fungi; Ascomycota; Sordariomycetes; Diaporthales; Schizoparmaceae.
CGCACAUUGCGCCCGCUGGAAUUCCAGCGGGCAUGCCUGUUCGAGCGUCAUUUCACCCCUCAAGCCUUGCUUGGUGUUGGAGCACUACCGUUUGUAUAAAGCGGUAGGCUCUGAAAUUCAGUGGCGGGCUCGCUAAGACUCUGAGCGUAGUAGUUUAUCACCUCGCUUUGGAAGGAUUAGCGGUGCUCUUGCCGUAAAACCCCCCAAUUUCUGAAUUUUGACCUCGGAUCAGGUAGGAAUACCCGCUGAACUUAA